RNAcentral lists this ribosomal RNA (551 nucleotides) under Aureobasidium pullulans. RNAcentral's name for it is "eukaryotic LSU rRNA". It matches the Rfam family "Eukaryotic large subunit ribosomal RNA", at positions 91 to 657 of the family's 3401-position model. Lineage: Eukaryota; Fungi; Ascomycota; Dothideomycetes; Dothideales; Saccotheciaceae. The record is from RNAcentral.
GAGUGAAGCGGCAACAGCUCAAAUUUGAAAGCUAGCCUUCGGGUUCGCAUUGUAAUUUGUAGAGGAUGCUUUGGGUGAAACGCCAGUCUAAGUUCCUUGGAACAGGACGUCAUAGAGGGUGAGAAUCCCGUAUGUGACUGGAAAUGUUAACCUAUGUAAAGCUCCUUCGACGAGUCGAGUUGUUUGGGAAUGCAGCUCUAAAUGGGAGGUAAAUUUCUUCUAAAGCUAAAUAUUGGCGAGAGACCGAUAGCGCACAAGUAGAGUGAUCGAAAGAUGAAAAGCACUUUGGAAAGAGAGUUAAAAAGCACGUGAAAUUGUUGAAAGGGAAGCGCUUGCAAUCAGACUUGUUCAAACUGUUCGGCCGGUCUUCUGACCGGUUUACUCAGUUUGGACAGGCCAGCAUCAGUUUCGGCGGCCGGAUAAAGGCAUUGGGAAUGUGGCCUUCACUUCGGUGGAGGUGUUAUAGCCCAGUGUGUAAUACGGCCAGCCGGGACUGAGGUCCGCGCUUCGGCUAGGAUGCUGGCGUAAUGGUUGUAAGCGACCCGUCUUGA